Molecule: ribosomal RNA, 273 nt
Filed under: uncultured Parvimonas sp.
Lineage: Bacteria; Bacillati; Bacillota; Tissierellia; Tissierellales; Peptoniphilaceae
Description: partial 16S ribosomal RNA
Rfam family: Bacterial small subunit ribosomal RNA
Source: RNAcentral
AGAUUUAACGAAAGUGGCGAACGGGUGAGUAACACGUGAGCAACCUGCCUUACACAGGGGAUAGCCAUUGGAAACGGUGAUUAAUACCCCAUAAGACCACAAUACCGCAUGGUAAAAGGGUAAAAGGGAUACCGGUGUAAGAUGGGCUCGCGUCUGAUUAGCUAGUUGGUGGGGUAAAGGCCUACCAAGGCGACGAUCAGUAGCCGGUCUGAGAGGAUGAACGGCCACAUUGGAACUGAGACACGGUCCAAACUCCUACGGGAGGCAGCAGCG